This 253-nucleotide ribosomal RNA is filed under the name uncultured bacterium. RNAcentral's name for it is "partial 16S ribosomal RNA". It matches the Rfam family "Bacterial small subunit ribosomal RNA", at positions 524 to 776 of the family's 1533-position model. The record is from RNAcentral.
UACGUAGGGUGCGAGCGUUGUCCGGAAUUAUUGGGCGUAAAGGGCUCGUAGGCGGUCUGUCACGUCGGGAGUGAAAACUCAGGGCUUAACCCUGAGCCUGCUUCCGAUACGGGCAGACUAGAGGUAUGCAGGGGAGAAUGGAAUUCCUGGUGUAGCGGUGAAAUGCGCAGAUAUCGGGAGGAACACCAGUGGCGAAGGCGGUUCUCUGGGCAUUACCUGACGCUGAGGAGCGAAAGUGUGGGGAGCGAACAGG